CCGACCAUGAUCCGGGUAAGCUUCUCUCCUUCAUUUUUCAUUUUCGUCGUUGCUUUUUAUCAGUUCGGUCUUCUGACGGUCGGUCUAUUAUUUGUAGCUAAUCUACAAUUUGUCCGAGCUGGAGGCCGGAUAUCGAAGGUUCGACGAUCUCCGAGCGGCUUGGAAGGAUAAGGCCGCGACCGUCGAGGCCAAGAAGGCGAUAAUGGUCGAGCAGCUGAAACAAUCGAUU
This 229-nucleotide long non-coding RNA is filed under the name Elaeis guineensis (African oil palm). RNAcentral's name for it is "long non-coding RNA (EGUI_LNC069709)". Lineage: Eukaryota; Viridiplantae; Streptophyta; Magnoliopsida; Arecales; Arecaceae. The record is from RNAcentral.